GUUUUUAUAGUUGAAUUCAACAGUAGUUUUUCAGAUUACAGGUCUGGGUUAGAGGCCCAGUAAAAAUU
RNAcentral lists this transfer RNA (68 nucleotides) under Rhinoderma darwinii. RNAcentral's name for it is "tRNA-Glu". Lineage: Eukaryota; Metazoa; Chordata; Amphibia; Anura; Rhinodermatidae. The record is from RNAcentral.